AUUGAACGCUGGCGGCAGGCCUAACACAUGCAAGUCGAACGGCAGCGGGGCUUCGGCCCGCCGGCGAGUGGCGAACGGGUGAGUAAUGCAUCGGAACGUGCCCAGUCGUGGGGGAUAACACAUCGAAAGAUGUGCUAAUACCGCAUACGUCCUGAGGGAGAAAGCGGGGGAUCUUCGGACCUCGCGCGAUUGGAGCGGCCGAUGUCGGAUUAGCUAGUUGGUGGGGUAAAAGCCCACCAAGGCGACGAUCCGUAGCGGGUCUGAGAGGAUGAUCCGCCACACUGGGACUGAGACACGGCCCAGACUCCUACGGGAGGCAGCAGUGGGGAAUUUUGGACAAUGGGGGCAACCCUGAUCCAGCCAUGCCGCGUGAAGGAAGACGGCCCUACGGGUUGUAAACUUCUUUUAUACGGGGAAUAAAGUGCCCCACGCGUGGGGUUUUGCAUGUACCGUAUGAAUAAGGAUCGGCUAACUCCGUGCCAGCAGCC
RNAcentral lists this ribosomal RNA (488 nucleotides) under uncultured bacterium. Its description in RNAcentral is "bacterial SSU rRNA". It matches the Rfam family "Bacterial small subunit ribosomal RNA", at positions 29 to 516 of the family's 1533-position model. The record is from RNAcentral.